This 498-nucleotide ribosomal RNA is filed under the name uncultured Glomus. RNAcentral's name for it is "SSU rRNA". It matches the Rfam family "Eukaryotic small subunit ribosomal RNA", at positions 569 to 1072 of the family's 1831-position model. Lineage: Eukaryota; Fungi; Glomeromycota; Glomeromycetes; Glomerales; Glomeraceae. The record is from RNAcentral.
AGCAGCCGCGGUAAUUCCGGCUCCAAUAGCGUAUAUUAAAGUUGUUGCAGUUAUAAAGCUCGUAGUUGAAUUUCGGGAUCAAAUUGUCGGUCGUGCCUCGGUACGUACUGGUAUUAUUGGUUCCUACCUUCUGACGAACCACGAUGUCAUUAAUUUGGUGUCGCGGGAAAUCAGGACUGUUACUUUGAAAAAAUUAGAGUGUUUAAAGCAGGCUCGCGCUUGAAUACAUUAGCAUGGAAUAAUGAAAUAGGACGUUUGAUUCUAUUUUGUUGGUUUCUAGGAUCGACGUAAUGAUUAAUAGGGAUAGUUGGGGGCAUUAGUAUUCAAUUGUCAGAGGUGAAAUUCUUGGAUUUAUUGAAGACUAACUACUGCGAAAGCAUUUGCCAAGGAUGUUUUCAUUAAUCAAGAACGAAAGUUAGGGGAUCGAAGACGAUCAGAUACCGUCGUAGUCUUAACCAUAAACUAUGCCGACUAGGGAUCGGAUGAUGUAAUUUUUAA